This is a long non-coding RNA of Raphanus sativus (radish), 1225 nucleotides long. RefSeq lists it as uncharacterized. The transcript is spliced from 2 exons. Lineage: Eukaryota; Viridiplantae; Streptophyta; Magnoliopsida; Brassicales; Brassicaceae. The record is from RefSeq and is a predicted model, not a curated record.
CAUAUUUAAUUCCCUUUUCAAAAUCAUUAGUUCAUUCCUUCACAAUAGUUGUUUUUGAGGGGUUUUAUAUAGUAUUAGUCGCAUAUCUUAAUUAAAUCAAACCGGCCGAAUCAAAUAUAAGAAUCGAUAUAUUCAAUCACAUUUUUAAAGCAUAUUGAGUAUUAUUGAAAAAACAAUAUGAUAGACUAGUUACAUUUUGCGAAGAAUAUAAUUAAGAUCUGCUCAUUAGUUUUUUUAAAGUACAAUUAUAUAAAUUAAAUUCAAACCGAAAAGAAUAUUGAAAAAAAUUCUCCGAUUAACCGAUAAAAAACAAUCAAAAGUUCUCGUCUUUUUCGUUGAUGUUUUCUUCGUGGUGGCCGUUGGUUCUUUUACUGCUACGGUCAUCCCUCUGUUUGCGCUCUAGUUUUAGUCUCUGUUUUCCCUCUUUGAUUUCUAUUUCUGGAGCACCGGCGAGACUUUGACCCAUGAUGUGAAGCCAGAGAGCUCGAGUUUGGAGGUGGUUUGUGUGGUUUAACUAGAUCUGGAUCAUAUCUGGCGGAUCUGUGAUAAGGUUACAGUUGAGGUUUCACCGGUGGUAAGGGCUUCUUUUCCCUUGUCAUUUCGUUUACCCUCAACUUCUUCGUUCUUCGACCUGUGGAGAUCCUCGAUCUAAGCAGUAUAGAAUAUCUGGUUUCCAUUGUUGUGUGGAAACUUAUGUUGAACUCUUCUGUCUGUGAAUUUUAAAGGGAAUUAUUGGUCAUUUUUUGGUUGUUUGAUCUCUAUACUUGCAAUUCUUUCGAGUUUUUGAUAUGGUAGUGAAUAUCCUGUUUCUUGCUGCCAGUUUCUCUGUAUUUUCGAUGGUUUCGGAUGGGAUUGACUUUUUAUCUCUAGAUAUGUUGAGAUUAGAGUGUUGGUUGUAUGGCUUUUAUCGAGGCAUAGCUUGAACACGUGAAGUGUGUCGCCGCCGUAUCCAGAAAAAGAUGAGAACUAUGAGUGGUUCAUUUUUGCCGGGUGAUAAAAUUUGGUUUCGUAGAGUUGAUGUUAUCGUGUGGUAGGCUGCGGGCGACAACGAUAAAUCUCGUUCAAGAAGCGUCAUGUGAUGUUGUAAGGUUGCAAGUGUAGUAUGCUAAUUUCUUUGUGGAUUUUUUAAUUUAUCAUUGUUGUAGUUCUGUCUAUAUUAUAUCUUCGGUAUUCUAUUAAGUUGUAAGUUAUUUCGGUGUGGGUUCUAUCUACCUAUUUGUGGACU